Small nuclear RNA from Ailuropoda melanoleuca (giant panda), 190 nucleotides. Its record names the gene U2. It matches the Rfam family "U2 spliceosomal RNA". Rfam says of the family: U2 is a small nuclear RNA (snRNA) component of the spliceosome (involved in pre-mRNA splicing). Complementary binding between U2 snRNA (in an area lying towards the 5' end but 3' to hairpin I) and the branchpoint sequence (BPS) of the intron results the bulging out of an unpaired adenosine, on the BPS, which initiates a nucleophilic attack at the intronic 5' splice site, thus starting the first of two transesterification reactions that mediate splicing. Lineage: Eukaryota; Metazoa; Chordata; Mammalia; Carnivora; Ursidae. The record is from Ensembl.
GUUUAUUCUUGGCCUUUUGGCUAAGAUCAAGUGUAGUAUCUGUUCAUAUCAGUUUAAUAUCUGAUAUGUCCACUAUCAGAGGACAAUAUAUUAAAUGGAUUUUUGGAGCAGUGAGAUGGAAUAGGAGAUUGCUCCAUCCACUCCAUGCGUCAACUGGUAUUACAAAAUCUCCAGGAACGGUGCACUCCCU